CCGUGGAAGGUUCCCACAACUAGUGCCCACCGUUUACGGUCUGGACUACCAGGGUAUCUAAUCCUGUUUGCUCCCCAAACUUUCGCUCCUCAGUGUCAGUAUUGGCCCAGAAACCUGCCUUCGCCAUUGGUGUUCCUCCUGAUAUCUGCGCAUUCCACCGCUACACCAGGAAUUCCAGUCUCCCCUACCAAACUCUAGUUUGCCCGUAUCGAAUGCAGGCCUGAGGUUGAACCUCAGGUUUUCACAUCCGACGUAACAAACGACCUACGAGCUCUUUACGCCCAAUAAUUCCGGACAACGCUUGCACCCUAUGUAUUACCGCGGCUGCUGGCACAUAGUUAGCCGGUGCUUCUUUUGUAGGUACCGUCACUUUCGCUUCUUCCCUACUGAAAGCGGUUUACAACCCGAAGGCCUUCAUCCCGCA
Molecule: ribosomal RNA, 424 nt
Filed under: uncultured bacterium
Lineage: Bacteria
Description: partial 16S ribosomal RNA
Source: RNAcentral